UAGUAGUAGUAGUAGUGCUAGCACUUCCCCCAAGACUGGGUGGGAUGGGGAUCACCAACCCUGAGAAGCUGGCAGAUAAGGAGAACCAAAACUCCAUCAGCCUUACCAGGUCACUCAUCAACAGGAUCAUCGCUCAGGAGGCAGAGGGAGAGAUAGACCAAACAGAAAUAAGAGAUAUUAAAAGAAAAAUCUCAGAAGAAAGGCAACAGGCCCAAAAAGACGAGCUGGACCGUCUUACACACCACCUGUCCACAGAAAUGGGUAGAAAAAUACACACAGCACAGGAGGCAGGCGCCUCUAACUGGCUAACGUCAUUACCAAUCAGAGCAAAGGGCUUCAGCCUCAACAAACAAGAAUUUGUCGACGCCAUUGCUCUGAGAUAUGGCUGGCCGAUUGAGGGACUGCCUGAUCUCUGUGCAUGUGGAUCACCAAAUGAUGUCACCCACACCUUGACAUGUAAAAAAGGAGGCUUCGUCUGUAUUCGACACGAUGAAGUGAGGGAUCUGACAGCCAGCAUGCUCGGGGAGGUAUGCCAAGACGUCACUACCGAGCCGGCACUGCUUCCCCUGGACGGCGAACACCUUCGGUACAGGACGGCCAAUACCUCACAGGAGGCACGGGUUGAUGUAAGUGCCCGCGGAUUCUGGGUGCGCGGACAGCGGGCGUUCAUGGACAUCCGCAUAUUCGACCCGAUGGCUGCCUGUCACCGUGAGCUGCCCCUGCAAGCUGCCCACCACAGGAACGAGCAAGAGAAGACAAGGGCAUACGGUGAAAGAAUCCAACAUGUGGAUCAGGGCAGCUUCACCCCCCUCGUCUUCACCACAUCCGGCGGGAUGGGUCCCAGGGCCCAAUGCUUCUACGCACGCCUCGCGGAACUAAUCUCAGAAAAGAAGCAUCAGCCAAGGAGUCACGUUGUCGCCUGGAUGAGGUGUCGCCUCUCGUUCUCCCUGCUCAGGUCGGCCAUCCUAUGUCUCAGGGGCACCAGACACUCUGGCCCAAAAGCCACCAACAUCUCCAAUAUGGACUACGAAGCCACAGUGGUGGAGAGUGACAUUAGGGUGGGUCGGGAGUGACUUGAGUAGGGAAGGAAAGGGGGAUCUAGACGUAAUAGAUGAUAGGUGAUUUAGUGUCAGGUAGUAUUAGUAAUAUGGUUGGAUGCCACAGUCAUUAGCGAACAGAGUUGGGGCUAAUGACCUCCAAGCUAUGGAGCCCUCCAUGAUUAUGUGUCGGGAAAAUAAACAUGGGUGGAGGUAUCAUUUAUGUAGUAGAAAAAAAGAAAAAAAAAGUAGUAGUAGUAGUAGUAGUAGUAGUAGUAGUAGUAGUAGUAAAAAAUGUAGUAGUAGUAGUAGUAGUAGUAGUAGUAGUAGUAGUAGUAGUAGUAGUAGUAGUAGUAGUAGUAGUAGUAGUAGUAGUAGUAGUAGUAGUAGUAGUAGUAGUAAAAAAUGUAGUAGUAGUAGUAGUAGUAGUAAAAAAUGUAGUAGUAGUAGUAGUAGUAGUAGUAGUAGUAGUAGUAGUCUGUUAGCUUAAAAAUAAAAUGUUUAGUAAAGUUUGUAAUACUAAAUAAAGAUGGUUGUCGGCCACAGUCAUUGGCGGGGUGGGGCCAAUGAAUUGCUUUGUGAAAGGAUAUGAGAGAAUAUACCGCUCACAACGCAACUCUAAUAGAUGGAGGCCCGUAGUAGUAGUAGUAGAAAAAAAAAAGUAGUAGUAGUAGUAGUAGUAAUAACAGAAGUAGUAGCAAUAGUAGUACCAGUAGUAGCAGUAGUAGUAGUAGUAGUAGUAGUAGUAGCAGUAGUAGUGGUAGUAGUAGUAGUAGUAGUAGUAGUAGUAGUAGUAGUAGUAGUGGCAGCAGUAGUACCUUCUGUUAUCGGUCCCAGCAUGUCCUCGACACACCCGCAGAUGUGAGGAUGCGAUUCCAAGGCGAGACCGAGGUGGUCGAGAACAGCCUGUACGAGACCUUGGACAACACCCGCAGGACCGAGGUGGUCGAGAACAGCCUGUACGAGACCUUGGACAACACCCGCGGGACCGAGGUGGUCGAGAACAGCCUGUACGAGCCCUUUGAAAACGUGAGGAAGCCGCGGUGAGGAAGAAGGAAAUAGAAGAGGAGGAGGAAGAUGAGGAGCAAGCGUGAAAACAUGGGAGGGCAGGCAACAAAAAGCCUGCUGGUUCAUCACGAGGCUGCCUGCUUUAGCGACAUGUGAAUCAGCUCGUCAGCCAAUUGAGAGACCUGCGCCACAGACUGAAGCACUUUUGUACGCACGCGCGGGCACUUCGAGCUCGCCCCUGACGCAGCAGUGACGACCAGUGCGAUCUUGGAAGGAAAUUAUCGCUUUCGAGCAAACAACUUCUGCUGGAAAGCUGUUCCAGUGGCGGACGGGUCUUCG
Molecule: RNA transcript, 2384 nt
Organism: Eriocheir sinensis (Chinese mitten crab)
Lineage: Eukaryota; Metazoa; Arthropoda; Malacostraca; Decapoda; Varunidae
Exons: 3
Source: RefSeq, a predicted model, not a curated record